UUUCGCAAUGCCCGAAAGGGUGACGAAGCGACGCCGCGUGUGGGAAGAAGGCCUUCGGGUUGUAAACCACUGUCGGGAGUUAGGAAAUGUAAGGGUGCUAAUAGUAUCCUUACUUGACUAAGGCUCCGGAGGAAGCCACGGCUAACUCUGUGCCAGCAGCCGCGGUAAUACAGAGGCGGCAAGCGUUGUUCGGAAUUAUUGGGCGUAAAGAGCACGUAGGCGGCCUUGUAAGUCAGUUGUGAAAGCCUUCUGCUUAACGGAAGAACAGCAGCUGAUACUGCAAGGCUAGAGUGCGGAAGGGGAGAGUGGAACUUCUGGUGGAGCGGUGAAAUGCGUAGAUAUCAGAAGGAACACCGGCGGCGAAGGCGACUCUCUGGCCCGAAACUGACGCUGAGUGUGCGAAAGCUAGGGGAGCAAACGGGAUUAGAUACCCCGGUAGUCCUAGCCGUAAACGAUGGGCACUAAGUAGAGGGGUUUUA
RNAcentral lists this ribosomal RNA (479 nucleotides) under uncultured bacterium. Its description in RNAcentral is "bacterial SSU rRNA". It matches the Rfam family "Bacterial small subunit ribosomal RNA", at positions 364 to 833 of the family's 1533-position model. The record is from RNAcentral.